GUUUUAUCCUAGCUCGGUUGGAAGGCUUGGAGCCGGUCUUAUACAUGCAAGCUUGCUCAAAAAUUUUUUUUUGAUGGCGCAAAGGUGAGUUCAAAAUAAGAACUUUAAUUUUUGUUUGGAUAAUUCCAAUAAAAAACUUUUUAAGUUAAAAGCAUUUUGCGCAAAAAGGAAGGCUUAUUUGGUAUUAGGUAGUUGGUUAUGAUAAAAGCUGACCAUAGCCUGAGAUGCCUAGCAGACUUUAGCGAGUGAUCUGCCACAACGGGCUUGGAAGAGUGCCUGAACAUACAAUGGCAGCAGUAAAGAAUCUUGGACAAUGCAUUAACGUGUGAUCCAGCCAGUCUCUGUGGUGGAUGAAGGCCUUUUAGGUUGUAAACAUCUAAGGUUUUUUUAGAAUAUAAUGAAUGUAUAAAAAAAUACAAGGGGGUUAGGGCUAAACCUCGUUGCCAGCAGCCGCGGUAAUACGGGGGCCUCUAGUCUUUGACCUCAUGACUGGGUGUAAUAGGCACAAAGGAGGUUGUCUUUGUUCUUGAUAAAAUACUACGACUUGAUCGU
RNAcentral lists this ribosomal RNA (552 nucleotides) under uncultured bacterium. RNAcentral describes it as "partial 16S ribosomal RNA". It matches the Rfam family "Bacterial small subunit ribosomal RNA", at positions 11 to 616 of the family's 1533-position model. The record is from RNAcentral.